This 494-nucleotide ribosomal RNA is filed under the name uncultured bacterium. RNAcentral's name for it is "partial 16S ribosomal RNA". It matches the Rfam family "Bacterial small subunit ribosomal RNA", at positions 28 to 507 of the family's 1533-position model. The record is from RNAcentral.
GACGAACGCUGGCGGCGUGCUUAACACAUGCAAGUCGAACGGUGAAGCGCCUUCCUUUUUGGUGGGUGUGGAUGAGUGGCGAACGGGUGAGUAACACGUGAGUAACCUGCCCCCUUCUUCUGGAUAACCGCAUGAAAGUGUGGCUAAUACGGGAUAUUCUGGGUCUGUCGCAUGAUGGGUCUGGGAAAGAUAUUGUUUCGGUGGGGGAUGGGCUCGCGGCCUAUCAGCUUGUUGGUGGGGUGAGGGCCUACCAAGGCGGUGACGGGUAGCCGGCCUGAGAGGGUGGACGGUCACACUGGGACUGAGACACGGCCCAGACUCCUACGGGAGGCAGCAGUGGGGAAUAUUGCACAAUGGGCGCAAGCCUGAUGCAGCGACGCCGCGUGAGGGAUGGAGGCCUUCGGGUUGUGAACCUCUUUCGCCAGUGAAGCAGGCCUGCCUCGUUUGUGGGUGGGUUGACGGUAGCUGGAUAAGAAGCGCCGGCUAACUACGUG